This 556-nucleotide long non-coding RNA is filed under the name Malus domestica (apple). Its description in RNAcentral is "long non-coding RNA (MDOM_LNC017576)". Lineage: Eukaryota; Viridiplantae; Streptophyta; Magnoliopsida; Rosales; Rosaceae. The record is from RNAcentral.
UAUAACCUUUGAGUUCAUUGUAGGCUCCUGAGUCCAUUCGUACCAUUUAUAGGAAGGGAAAGCUUAGAAAACCCGAGAACCCAAGAUUCCAAUUUUGAGGUAUUGUUCAUGCAGUCAUAAAUGCACAAUUUUUAAAGGAUUUCAAGCUUAUAGGAAGCUUAGGGACCCUUCCACGAAGCUCAGAGAAGAAAAAUGACAUAAUUUGGACGUCGGGAAGUUGAGAUAGAUGCAUUUGAAGUUUGACCGGAUUAUCGAAGGUCCACCGGCAAAUUUCCGUGGAUUUUAGGUCCCAAAACAGGUAUGGUUGUAUUCUAUUCGUCCUAAGCUUCAAUUUGCUUCAAGUUUCAUGAAAUUUGGUGGAAAAUUGAGUGAUAAAUGAAGGUAUUAUUAUUUUCCAGAAAUCGGCAACGCAGAGGUCACCGGCGUUGGACUCUGGCGAGCUGAGGAAGACGAAGGAGCAUAUUCCGUCAAAUCUGACGAAAUAUUCUAACUGCAAAAGGUAACGCCGUUAACGUCUGUUAAGGUUUUAACGAAAUAUUCCAUGGAAUAUUCCUAA